Molecule: long non-coding RNA, 680 nt
Filed under: Phascolarctos cinereus (koala)
Lineage: Eukaryota; Metazoa; Chordata; Mammalia; Diprotodontia; Phascolarctidae
Description: lncRNA (ENSPCIG00000015075.2)
Source: RNAcentral
AUGGGGGAGAGGGGGAGAGACCGGGAAUGGGGACUGCCCUCCCAUCUACCAUACCCAGAUACUCUUCCCUCUGCACCCCCCCACAAGAUACAUUACCUGCCAGGGCCUCCCACCCGCCCCGAUGCUCGGUCGUCUCCUCUUCCUCCGCCGCUGCCGCCGCCGCCGCCGCCGCCGCGCUCCCUCUCGCAGCCGCAUCCCCAGAUGUGCGCCAGAUGUGCGGGUCACGCUCCCUGGUUCGCACAAAGAGGUCGCCCCCAUCCGGAAAAGGAAGUAGGCCGGGAUUCCCCUUCUCUCUUAGCUGCUGAAGAAAGAGGGAGGAGUAAUUUUAUGCCUUACCCAGAAGAGUGGAAAACCUACAAGGGAAGUUGCAGUGCAAGGUAAGAAAAUGAGACUGGAGCAGAGAAAACAUUUGGUUAGCUUCCCAGGGCACUGCUUCCAGACAUCUAGACAAGGAUAACACGGUAGAGGUAUGCUUGAAACAAUAAUGGGCUCUAUAUGUGGCAACAUGAAGAGGUUUUUGCAUGCUGUUCCCAGAAAUCACUAUCUGGAAUUUGGAAACCAUUCAUAGGUGUGUAGGCUGGGAUUUGCACAGAACUGAUUUAUUAUUGACUUCUUACAAAGCAAAAGAAUAUAUUGCUUAAUUUGAAAAAUAAAACAUAUUCUGCUUUUGUUGUUAAGCA